UGCAGUCGACGAUGAAGCCCUUCGGGGUGGAUUAGUGGCGAACGGGUGAGUAACACGUGGGCAAUCUGCCCUUCACUCUGGGACAAGCCCUGGAAACGGGGUCUAAUACCGGAUACGACGCGCUCGGGCAUCCGAUGUGCGUGGAAAGCUCCGGCGGUGAAGGAUGAGCCCGCGGCCUAUCAGCUUGUUGGUGAGGUAACGGCUCACCAAGGCGACGACGGGUAGCCGGCCUGAGAGGGCGACCGGCCACACUGGGACUGAGACACGGCCCAGACUCCUACGGGAGGCAGCAGUGGGGAAUAUUGCACAAUGGGCGAAAGCCUGAUGCAGCGACGCCGCGUGAGGGAUGACGGCCUUCGGGUUGUAAACCUCUUUCAGCAGGGAAGAAGCGAAAGUGACGGUACCUGCAGAAGAAGCGCCGGCUAACUACGUGCCAGCAGCCGCGGUAAUACGUAGGGCGCGAGCGUUGUCCGGAAUUAUUGGGCGUAAAGAGCUCGUAGGCGGUCUGUCGCGUCGGAUGUGAAAGCCCGGGGCUUAACCCCGGGUCUGCAUUCGAUACGGGCAGACUAGAGUGUGGUAGGGGAGAUCGGAAUUCCUGGUGUAGCGGUGAAAUGCGCAGAUAUCAGGAGGAACACCGGUGGCGAAGGCGGAUCUCUGGGCCAUUACUGACGCUGAGGAGCGAAAGCGUGGGGAGCGAACAGGAUUAGAUACCCUGGUAGUCCACGCCGUAAACGGUGGGAACUAGGUGUUGGCGACAUUCCACGUCGUCGGUGCCGCAGCUAACGCAUUAAGUUCCCCGCCUGGGGAGUA
Molecule: ribosomal RNA, 810 nt
Filed under: Streptomyces neyagawaensis
Lineage: Bacteria; Bacillati; Actinomycetota; Actinomycetes; Kitasatosporales; Streptomycetaceae
Description: bacterial SSU rRNA
Rfam family: Bacterial small subunit ribosomal RNA
Source: RNAcentral